RNAcentral lists this ribosomal RNA (267 nucleotides) under Arachnodes micheli. RNAcentral's name for it is "partial 28S ribosomal RNA". It matches the Rfam family "Eukaryotic large subunit ribosomal RNA", at positions 688 to 921 of the family's 3401-position model. The record is from RNAcentral. Lineage: Eukaryota; Metazoa; Arthropoda; Insecta; Coleoptera; Scarabaeidae.
GAGUCAUUGGGACUCUGUUAAACCUAAAGGCGCAAUGAAAGUAAAGGUCCGCCUCGCGCGGACCGAGGGAGGAUGGCCCCGUACGCGUACGGGCCCCGCACUCCCGGGGCGUCUCGUUCUCAUCGCGAGAAGAGGCGCACCCAGAGCGUACACGCUGGGACCCGAAAGAUGGUGAACUAUGCCUGGUCAGGACGAAGUCAGGGGAAACCCUGAUGGAGGUCCGUAGCGAUUCUGACGUGCAAAUCGAUCGUCGGAACUGGGUAUAGG